Molecule: long non-coding RNA, 561 nt
Organism: Cannabis sativa
Lineage: Eukaryota; Viridiplantae; Streptophyta; Magnoliopsida; Rosales; Cannabaceae
Exons: 2
Source: RefSeq, a predicted model, not a curated record
AUGUUCUUUUCUAUUCCUUUCUAAUCUUUCAUAUCAACGAUUAGUCAUUCCUUAUAAGACAUUUCUUUCACUCUAUUUAAAUCAUCAAGAUUGAUAAGUUUUUUUUAUUUUUUUCUUUCCAAGCAAGCGGAUUAAGAAACUUGGGCACUCCUAGUUUCUUUGAUCUUCUUUCCCUGUAAUAUCUAGUCUCUUAGCAUUCAUGAAGCUGUUUUUCAACAACUACAGGACCCAGAAUUACUGUUCCAAGGAGUCUCAGGUGGGCAGCUUGCGGAGCUGUUUCGAUGAGCUCAACCUCAGCACUGCUGUUUAGAUCAUUGCAGGUAUUCUUUUCCAGUUGAUUUUGCCAGAAUUAAUAGUUGUAUUUUUCUCGUUUUGGUUUCAUUUUGGUUUCUUUGCGGUUUUGAAACGAGCGCGUAUUUUCAUCUUCAUGGUUCGCUCUGUACAGCUGAAGGCUUAGUGCAUGUGGUAUUUUUGUAAAUAUUUGUAUGUGGACUGUAUAAAUGUUUAAUGGGCCGGCCCAAAGUAUUUUUGUAAUUUUUUUUCCUUUUUUGUAUUUUUUUG